This 253-nucleotide ribosomal RNA is filed under the name uncultured bacterium. Its description in RNAcentral is "partial 16S ribosomal RNA". It matches the Rfam family "Bacterial small subunit ribosomal RNA", at positions 524 to 776 of the family's 1533-position model. The record is from RNAcentral.
UACAGAGGGGGCAAGCGUUAUUCGGAAUUAUUGGGCGUAAAGGGCGCGUAGGCGGCCUUGCAAGUGGAAGGUGAAAUCCCUCGGCUUAACCGAGGAACUGCCCUCCAAACUGCUUGGCUUGAGACCGGGAGAGGUGAGUGGAAUUCCCAGUGUAGCGGUGAAAUGCGUAGAUAUUGGGAGGAACACCAGUGGCGAAGGCGGCUCACUGGACCGGUACUGACGCUGAUGCGCGAAAGCGUGGGGAGCAAACGGG